RNAcentral lists this ribosomal RNA (451 nucleotides) under uncultured prokaryote. Its description in RNAcentral is "bacterial SSU rRNA". It matches the Rfam family "Bacterial small subunit ribosomal RNA", at positions 355 to 796 of the family's 1533-position model. The record is from RNAcentral.
UGGGGAAUAUUGCGCAAUGGCCGAAAGGCUGACGCAGCGACGCCGCGUGUGGGAGGACGCUUUUCGGAGUGUAAACCACUGUCAGGGGGGAAGAACUCCGUGUGUACGAAUAGUGCACGCGGUUGACGGUACCCCCAAAGGAAGCGCCGGCUAACUCCGUGCCAGCAGCCGCGGUAAGACGGAGGGCGCAAGCGUUGUUCGGAAUUACUGGGCGUAAAGCGCGCGCAGGCGGUUUCUUAAGUCCUUUGUGAAAAUCCGGAGCUCAACUCCGUGAAAUGCAGAGGAUACUGGGAGACUAGAGACCGGUAGAGGCUAGCGGAAUUCCUGGUGUAGCGGUGGAAUGCGUAGAUAUCAGGAAGAACACCGGUGGCGAAGGCGGCUAGCUGGGCCGGGUCUGACGCUCAGGCGCGAAAGCGUGGGGAGCAAACAGGAUUAGAUACCCCCGUAGUCC